UUUGGUUAAGUUAGAAAGGGCGCACGGUGGAUGCCUUGACACUAGGAGUCGAUGAAGGACGGGACUAACGCCGAUAUGCUUCGGGGAGCUGUAAGUAAGCUUUGAUCCGAAGAUUUCCGAAUGGGGAAACCCACCAUACGUAAUGGUAUGGUAUCCUUAUCUGAAUACAUAGGGUAAGGAAGACAGACCCAGGGAACUGAAACAUCUAAGUACCUGGAGGAAGAGAAAGCAAAUGCGAUUUCCUGAGUAGCGGCGAGCGAAACGGAACAUAGCCCAAACCAAGAGGCUUGCCUCUUGGGGUUGUAGGACAUUCUAUACGGAGUUACAAAGGAACGAGGUAGACGAAGCGACCUGGAAAGGUCCGUCGUAGAGGGUAACAACCCCGUAGUCGAAACUUCGUUCUCUCUUGAAUGUAUCCUGAGUACGGCGGAACACGUGAAAUUCCGUCGGAAUCUGGGAGGACCAUCUCCCAAGGCUAAAUACUCCCUAGUGAUCGAUAGUGAACCAGUACCGUGAGGGAAAGGUGAAAAGCACCCCGGAAGGGGAGUGAAAGAGAUCCUGAAACCGUGUGCCUACAAAUAGUCAGAGCCCGUUAACGGGUGAUGGCGUGCCUUUUGUAGAAUGAACCGGCGAGUUACGAUCCCGUGCGAGGUUAAGCUGAAGAGGCGGAGCCGCAGCGAAAGCGAGUCUGAAUAGGGCGUUUAGUACGUGGUCGUAGACCCGAAACCAGGUGAUCUACCCAUGUCCAGGGUGAAGUUCAGGUAACACUGAAUGGAGGCCCGAACCCACGCACGUUGAAAAGUGCGGGGAUGAGGUGUGGGUAGCGGAGAAAUUCCAAUCGAACCUGGAGAUAGCUGGUUCUCCCCGAAAUAGCUUUAGGGCUAGCCUUAAGUGUAAGAGUCUUGGAGGUAGAGCACUGAUUGGACUAGGGGUCCUCAUCGGAUUACCGAAUUCAGUCAAACUCCGAAUGCCAAUGACUUAUCCUUAGGAGUCAGACUGCGAGUGAUAAGAUCCGUAGUCAAAAGGGAAACAGCCCAGACCGCCAGCUAAGGUCCCAAAGUGUGUAUUAAGUGGAAAAGGAUGUGGAGUUGCUUAGACAACUAGGAUGUUGGCUUAGAAGCAGCCACCAUUUAAAGAGUGCGUAAUAGCUCACUAGUCGAGUGACUCUGCGCCGAAAAUGUACCGGGGCUAAAUACACCACCGAAGCUGCGGAUUGAUACCAAUGGUAUCAGUGGUAGGGGAGCGUUCUAAGGACAGUGAAGUCAGACCGGAAGGACUGGUGGAGUGCUUAGAAGUGAGAAUGCCGGUAUGAGUAGCGAAAGACGGGUGAGAAUCCCGUCCACCGAAUGCCUAAGGUUUCCUGAGGAAGGCUCGUCCGCUCAGGGUUAGUCAGGACCUAAGCCGAGGCCGACAGGCGUAGGCGAUGGACAACAGGUUGAUAUUCCUGUACCACCUCUUUAUCGUUUGAGCAAUGGAGGGACGCAGAAGGAUAGAAGAAGCGUGCGAUUGGUUGUGCACGUCCAAGCAGUUAGGCUGAUAAGUAGGCAAAUCCGCUUAUCGUGAAGGCUGAGCUGUGAUGGGGAAGCUCCUUAUGGAGCGAAGUCUUUGAUUCCCCGCUGCCAAGAAAAGCUUCUAGCGAGAUAAAAGGUGCCUGUACCGCAAACCGACACAGGUAGGCGAGGAGAGAAUCCUAAGGUGUGCGAGAGAACUCUGGUUAAGGAACUCGGCAAAAUGACCCCGUAACUUCGGGAGAAGGGGUGCUUUCUUAACGGAAAGCCGCAGUGAAUAGGCCCAAGCGACUGUUUAGCAAAAACACAGCUCUCUGCGAAGCCGUAAGGCGAAGUAUAGGGGGUGACACCUGCCCGGUGCUGGAAGGUUAAGGAGAGGGGUUAGCGUAAGCGAAGCUCUGAACUGAAGCCCCAGUAAACGGCGGCCGUAACUAUAACGGUCCUAAGGUAGCGAAAUUCCUUGUCGGGUAAGUUCCGACCUGCACGAAAGGUGUAACGAUUUGGGCACUGUCUCAACCAGAGACUCGGUGAAAUUAUAGUACCUGUGAAGAUGCAGGUUACCCGCGACAGGACGGAAAGACCCCGUGGAGCUUUACUGUAGCCUGAUAUUGAAUUUUGGUACAGUUUGUACAGGAUAGGCGGGAGCCUUUGAAACCGGAGCGCUAGCUUCGGUGGAGGCGCUGGUGGGAUACCGCCCUGACUGUAUUGAAAUUCUAACCUACGGGUCUUAUCGACCCGGGAGACAGUGUCAGGUGGGCAGUUUGACUGGGGCGGUCGCCUCCUAAAGUGUAACGGAGGCGCCCAAAGGUUCCCUCAGAAUGGUUGGAAAUCAUUCGUAGAGUGCAAAGGCAUAAGGGAGCUUGACUGCGAGACCUACAAGUCGAGCAGGGACGAAAGUCGGGCUUAGUGAUCCGGUGGUUCCGCAUGGAAGGGCCAUCGCUCAACGGAUAAAAGCUACCCCGGGGAUAACAGGCUUAUCUCCCCCAAGAGUCCACAUCGACGGGGAGGUUUGGCACCUCGAUGUCGGCUCAUCGCAUCCUGGGGCUGUAGUCGGUCCCAAGGGUUGGGCUGUUCGCCCAUUAAAGCGGUACGCGAGCUGGGUUCAGAACGUCGUGAGACAGUUCGGUCCCUAUCCGUCGUGGGCGUAGGAAAUUUGAGAGGAGCUGUCCUUAGUACGAGAGGACCGGGAUGGACGCACCGCUGGUGUACCAGUUGUUCUGCCAAGGGCAUAGCUGGGUAGCUAUGUGCGGAAGGGAUAAGUGCUGAAAGCAUCUAAGCAUGAAGCCCCCCUCAAGAUGAGAUUUCCCAUAGCGUAAGCUAGUAAGAUCCCUGAAAGAUGAUCAGGUUGAUAGGUUCGAGGUGGAAGCAUGGUGACAUGUGGAGCUGACGAAUACUAAUAGAUCGAGGACUUAACCAUAUAA
RNAcentral lists this ribosomal RNA (2929 nucleotides) under Bacillus cereus. RNAcentral's name for it is "bacterial LSU rRNA". It matches the Rfam family "Bacterial large subunit ribosomal RNA". The record is from RNAcentral. RNAcentral also lists the same sequence under 1 other name. Lineage: Bacteria; Bacillati; Bacillota; Bacilli; Caryophanales; Bacillaceae.